RNAcentral lists this ribosomal RNA (494 nucleotides) under uncultured bacterium. RNAcentral's name for it is "partial 16S ribosomal RNA". It matches the Rfam family "Bacterial small subunit ribosomal RNA", at positions 28 to 507 of the family's 1533-position model. The record is from RNAcentral.
GACGAACGCUGGCGGCGUGCUUAACACAUGCAAGUCGAACGGUGAAGCGCCUUCCUUUUUGGUGGGUGUGGAUGAGUGGCGAACGGGUGAGUAACACGUGAGUAACCUGCCCCCUUCUUCUGGAUAACCGCAUGAAAGUGUGGCUAAUACGGGAUAUUCUGGGUCUGUCGCAUGAUGGGUCUGGGAAAGAUAUUGUUUCGGUGGGGGAUGGGCCCGCGGCCUAUCAGCUUGUUGGUGGGGUGAUGGCCUACCAAGGCGGUGACGGGUAGCCGGCCUGAGAGGAUGGGCGGUCACACGGAGGAGGAGACGCGGCCCAGACUCCGAGGGGAGGCAGCAGUGGGGAAUAUGGCACAAUGGGCGCAAGGCUGAUGCAGCGACGCGGCGUGAGGGAUGGAGGCCGGCGGGUUGUGAACCUCUUUCGCCAGUGAAGCAGGCCUGCCUCGUUUGUGGGUGGGUUGACGGUAGCUGGAUAAGAAGCGCCGGCUAACUACGUG